RNAcentral lists this ribosomal RNA (379 nucleotides) under Aleurocanthus camelliae (camellia spiny whitefly). Its description in RNAcentral is "partial large subunit ribosomal RNA". The record is from RNAcentral. Lineage: Eukaryota; Metazoa; Arthropoda; Insecta; Hemiptera; Aleyrodidae.
UAGCUGCAGUAAAUUAACUGUACUAAGGUAGCAUAAUAAAUUGUUUUUUAAUUAAAAACUAGAAUGAAAGAUUAAAUGAAAAGCUAACUUAUUUUAAAGAUAAAAAGUAAAACUUAAUUUCUAAGUUAAAAAUCUUAGAUUAACUCUUAAAAGACAAGAAGACCCUUUAGAAUUUUAUAUAUUAAAGCCAAACCAUGGUAACUAUAUAUUAAGUUGGGGAGACUGCAAAACAAAAAUCUUUUGCUUAAUCCAAUUCACCCAAAAGUGUAAAUUUAAAUAUCCACUAAUGAAAUAGACCAAAUUACCUAAGGGAUAACAGCGUAAAAUUUCUUGAAAGACCUCAUUAAUAGAAUUUAUUACGACCUCGAUGUUGGAUUAA